UACAGAGGGGGCAAGCGUUGUUCGGAAUUACUGGGCGUAAAGUGUGCGCAGGCGGCCGAGCAAGUCGAGUGUGAAAGCCCCGAGCUUAACUUGGGAACUGCGCUCGAAACUACUUGGCUAGAGUGUGGCAGAGGGAGGUGGAAUUCCACGUGUAGCGGUGAAAUGCGUAGAGAUGUGGAGGAACACCGAUGGCGAAGGCAGCCUCCUGGGCCAACACUGACGCUCAUGCACGAAAGCGUGGGGAGUAAACAGG
This 253-nucleotide ribosomal RNA is filed under the name uncultured bacterium. Its description in RNAcentral is "partial 16S ribosomal RNA". It matches the Rfam family "Bacterial small subunit ribosomal RNA", at positions 524 to 776 of the family's 1533-position model. The record is from RNAcentral.